Molecule: ribosomal RNA, 253 nt
Filed under: uncultured bacterium
Lineage: Bacteria
Description: partial 16S ribosomal RNA
Rfam family: Bacterial small subunit ribosomal RNA
Source: RNAcentral
UACGGGGGGGGCAAGCGUUGUUCGGAAUUACUGGGCGUAAAGGGCUCGUAGGCGGCCAACUAAGUCGGAUGUGAAAUCCCCAGGCUCAACCUGGGAACUGCAUCCGAUACUGGAUGGCUUGAAUUCGGGAGAGGGAUGUGGAAUUCCAGGUGUAGCGGUGAAAUGCGUAGAUAUCUGGAGGAACACCGGUGGCGAAGGCGGCAUCCUGGACCGACAUUGACGCUGAGGCGCGAAAGCCAGGGGAGCAAACGGG